Molecule: ribosomal RNA, 253 nt
Filed under: uncultured bacterium
Lineage: Bacteria
Description: partial 16S ribosomal RNA
Rfam family: Bacterial small subunit ribosomal RNA
Source: RNAcentral
GACGAACCGUGCGAACGUUGUUCGGAUUCACUGGGCUUAAAGGGCGCGUAGGCGGGCUCGCAAGUCAGGGGUGAAAUCCUCCGGCUCAACCGGAGAACUGCCUUUGAUACUGCGGGCCUAGAGGGAGGUAGGGGUCGACGGAACUUCCGGUGGAGCGGUGAAAUGCGUAGAUAUCGGAAGGAACGCCGGUGGCGAAAGCGGUCGACUGGACCUCUGCUGACGCUGAGGCGCGAAAGCCAGGGGAGCAAACGGG